UACGUAGGCAGCGAGCGUUGUUCGGAGUUACUGGGCGUAAAGGGUGUGUAGGCGGUUUUCUAAGUUUGGUGUGAAAUCUCCCGGCUCAACCGGGAGGGUGCGCCGAAAACUGGGAGACUAGAGUGCGGGAUGGGAGAGUAGAAUUCCUGGUGUAGCGGUGAAAUGCGUAGAUAUCAGGAGGAAUACGGGUGGUGUAGACGGCUCUCUGGACCGCCACUGACGCUGAGACACGAAAGCGUGGGUAGCAAACAGG
Molecule: ribosomal RNA, 253 nt
Filed under: uncultured bacterium
Lineage: Bacteria
Description: partial 16S ribosomal RNA
Rfam family: Bacterial small subunit ribosomal RNA
Source: RNAcentral